This 267-nucleotide ribosomal RNA is filed under the name uncultured bacterium. RNAcentral describes it as "partial 16S ribosomal RNA". It matches the Rfam family "Bacterial small subunit ribosomal RNA", at positions 88 to 354 of the family's 1533-position model. The record is from RNAcentral.
AUGGCGACCGGCGCACGGGUGAGUAACGCGUAUCCAACCUGCCCUUUACUAUGGGACAGCCCGUCGAAAGGCGGAUUAAUACCGUAUGUUGUCAUGUUGAUGCAUAUUUUCAUGACCAAAGGCUUCGGCCGGUAAAGGAUGGGGAUGCGUCUGAUUAGCUUGCCGGCGGGGUAACGGCCCACCGGGGCGACGAUCAGUAGGGGUUCUGAGAGGAAGGUCCCCACAUUGGAACUGAGACACGGUCCAAACUCCUACGGAAGGCAGCAG